GUCAGGAUAGCUCAGCCGGUAGAGCAGAGGAC
This 32-nucleotide transfer RNA is filed under the name Anisoptera marginata. RNAcentral describes it as "partial tRNA-Phe". The record is from RNAcentral. RNAcentral also lists the same sequence under 15 other names. Lineage: Eukaryota; Viridiplantae; Streptophyta; Magnoliopsida; Malvales; Dipterocarpaceae.